UAAUACAGAGGGUGCGAGCGUUAAUCGGAAUUACUGGGCGUAAAGGGCGCGUAGGUUGCGUAUUAAGUGACAUGUGAAAUCCCUGGGCUUAACCCAGGACGUGCAUGUUAGACUGGUACGCUAGAGUACGAUAGAGGGUAGUGGAAUUUCCGGUGUAGCGGUGAAAUGCGUAGAUAUCGGAAGGAACAUCAGUGGCGAAGGCGGCUACCUGGAUUGAUACUGACACUGAGGCGCGAGAGCGUGGGGAGCAAACAGGAUUAGAUACCCUGGUAGUCCACGCUGUAAACGAUGAAAACUAGAUGUUGGUCAGCAUGACUGAUGAGUAUCGAAGCAAACGCGAUAAGUUUUCCGCCUGGGGAGUACGGCCGCAAGGUUA
Molecule: ribosomal RNA, 376 nt
Filed under: uncultured bacterium
Lineage: Bacteria
Description: bacterial SSU rRNA
Rfam family: Bacterial small subunit ribosomal RNA
Source: RNAcentral